This 215-nucleotide unclassified non-coding RNA is filed under the name Clostridioides difficile. RNAcentral describes it as "16S-23S ribosomal RNA intergenic spacer (ISR)". The record is from RNAcentral. Lineage: Bacteria; Bacillati; Bacillota; Clostridia; Peptostreptococcales; Peptostreptococcaceae.
ACCUACUGUUUAAUUUUGAGGGUUCGUUUUUACGAAUACUCAAAAUUAGCACUUUAAGCAACGGGAUUUAUUCGUUGGCGCUGUGCGUUAGCACUUUGAAAACUGCAUAUAUAUUUAGUGAUAUGACAUCUAAUUUGUAAUAUAUAAAGCUGAUAACUUUUUAAAAUUAUCGAAGUUGAUAGCUUCUAAUCUAUCAAACCUUUUUAACUGGUCAA